Molecule: ribosomal RNA, 116 nt
Organism: Lepisosteus oculatus (spotted gar)
Lineage: Eukaryota; Metazoa; Chordata; Actinopteri; Semionotiformes; Lepisosteidae
Source: Rfam
GCCAGCAGCCAUAUCACUCUGCAACUCACAACUGGCAACCCACUGAAGCUGAGCAGGUGUGAGCCUGGUCAGUACCUGGAUGGGAGACUUCCUGAGAAAAACUGUUGUUGCUGGGU